UAGAAAAAUGGAAGCCUCAGGCCUCAGGUCCAUGUCUUUAAUAUACUGAAAUCCUAUGCAGAAUCAUUUGCCAUUUUUCUAUUUCCCUGUGCUGAUGUUCAUUCUUUCUACCUAUUAAAAAAUCAAUAAGAAUAACUCAUGAUUCUGCCUAUAUAGAUGUUCUAUGUUACACACAGUCCAAAGCAAAUGGAAGACAAUGUUACCACUGGAGUAUUUUGGAGUCCAAUAAGCAUCAAUCAAAACACAUAAAACACAAAUAAAAUCAAUUAAAAAUGCUCAUAUUGAUACUAUUUCCAUACUGUAAGUGAUACUUUAUAUUACAGAGUUUUACUAAUCAUGUAACAACAAAGUCUAUAAAUGAAGUAUACUGGUACCAGGAGCCUUCCCAAACCCCUAAACAUAUUACUAUCUUUCAUUGAACUCAACCAUUAUUUACAGAGUACAUAUUAAGUUACACACUAUAGAAUUUAAUAUUGGUUUAGCUGGGGACAAUGGAAGUGAUGAAUAAAAAACGUUUUACAGGUUGGGAAACCAUUUUUUUUAAUCAUUUAUAAAAUUUAUCAUAAGCUUUAAUCUUCCUUCCCUAAGUCUGGUCAGUGAAAGUCUGAGAUGUAACAGCUUAUACUUGAUUUACACUUAUGCUGAAUUACACAGAUAAAUCAAAGUCAUUUAUUCCCUCUGAUAUUAUUAGUCAUUCAAAGAAGGCAUUUCUCCUAAAAGGCCCAAUUUUUCCUUUAAUGGCAACCUAGAGAAUUAAUCACACUCAUAAUGUAAAAUGGGUUCUCAUAAACAAGAAUGAUUACACAGAUAAAAAGACAGUAAAGUAAUAUUUAUCAAGCAUCUGUUAUGUGCCAGGCAGUAUGCCUAUUUAUUGUGAAAAUUAAGUCAGAGGAUCUUGCAAGGGAAGUAGUAUUAUAUUCAUUUUUAUAGAUGAGGAAACUAAUGCUCAAAAGAUUAAAUGACUUCCCCAGAUGGUAACCCAGCAAAUAAAUGAGAAUUCUGAUUCAAACCUAGUUCUGCUCUCUUCACUUACCAUAUAAGAGAAGAGGGGUUGAUGAUAAAAUGCCUCAUAGAGGAUAAAAAAUGUCAGUAAUAAGUAAUGAAAACAGAAGGAUAACAAAAAAAGGAAAAUUAAUUGCUUGGAUGGCUCAGUGCAGUUAAAUGACAUAGGGAUAAAGGCAGUGGAUAAACUAGGAAGUGAGGAUAGAGAAUGCAAAUGGAUGAAGAAGGAAGGCCUUUUGAAAAGCUUGAAGUAGAAGAAAAAGAACAGAAUCCAACUUCAAUAUACAUGUAUUAUAUUCUUUAGAAAGUCUUAACUCCUAAAGUUGCAAGUCAUGGGCUCUACUACCUUAUUUAAUUGUUCAGUAAAUGCUAAUUUAUGUGACUAAGUGUAAUCUACUAUUUCUUUUUUAAGUCAACAUUUACAGAGUGCCCACUAAGUGCCAGACAGCAUGGUAGACCCUGCGAAUACAAAGUUAAAAACGACCUCAAACUGUUCAUAGUCUGGUCUGGACAAAUAAACCAAACAAUUACAAUACAGAAGGAAGAGCACUAUGGAAGCACACAGCAUACCUAAGCCAGAAUGGAAGUCAAGAAAGGCCUCCCAAAGGUGGUGUCUCAGAUGAGUCACACAUAUUAGUACCUGUGACUACCACCAAAAAAGUAUGUUGAUUCCUAUUCAUGGUCGACUUGGGGUCUGACUGAAUGCUUACUAUUAGGACUACCCUUUGUCAUAAGGCAAAGCCCACAGGGUCUAGUGCACAGGUCAGCAGGCACAAAGAUACUGAUUCACGAUGAACAAACCUCUAUUAAGGAGGCAAAAUAAUGGACAUAGGAAGAGGGUAACUUUUCAGCCAAUGUAAUAAUAAAUGCCAAGAGGUAAAUCACAAUGGUGAUGUGGGUCAGAAAAAGGAUUAAGAACAGUAUCUUAAAUUUACAUACUCCUUUACUGUUUCCUAAAUUCUUUCACCUUUAUUAUAUCACUUCAUUUCACUCUCCAAAAACUUCUGUGAGGUACACAACUAGAGCAGGUUUUACUACCGUUAACCUUUUCCCCCCGCCCCGUAUUUUAUAGAUAAGAAAAUUGAGGGUUGGAGAGAUUAAGAGGUUUUUCCCAAACCAUACUGCUGUCAAGUUGCCAGGGCUCAUACUCACAUUUGCUAACAUGUAACCCAGUGAGUUACACGUUAACUCUUCGACUACAUGACUUGGUAACUUCCUACAGCGUCCUCAGACCCUCAUAGCCAUUGGAUUUACAAGGUGGUUAGUUGGCCAGCGAAGGAAGACAAAAAAUACCACAAAUCAUCAAGAAGACAUAUUGAAAAGAACCAGAAUGGACGACGUGUGAUCAUAACCUUUGCCUACUGGCAAAAGAGCUGAAGGGAAAACCUUGACAGUGGCAUGGAUGACAACAGCCCAGAAGAACGGCACCUGUUGAAAUAGUCUGCUGCACUUUAAGCGUGUAUUCUGAUUAUCUUUUCGGAAAAUCUAACUCUGUUAAAUUCUAAAGUGGGACCAGGGACCAGCUCAAUUCUAGUUUGGGCAGCAUAAUGACCUAUUUAAAUGGUCGCUGUUUGCUCCCAGUCUUAUUAUAAUGAUAAAUCCUGCGGAACUCUCUCCAUAAAUGUUCCCUGUACACUCCAAAUAUAAACUUGCCACAACAAGAAACGAUUAAUUAGCACACAGCAAAUGACAAACCCAAGAUGGAAACACAAGUCAGUCGGACGGCAACAGCAGUGAUCUUCCACCCCUUCAUUAUAUUGACUGGUUGAAAACCUCUCUCUAAUUUGUCCCCGUAGCAAGUGGUAUCUUAAAUUUUAAGAAUUAUAAUAUCCAUCCUUGGCAAGGAUGUGGGUAAUCCACUUAAUCUCAUAUACUGGUGACAGGAAUGUAAAUGUGCACAGCAUUUUUGAAGGGAAAUUUAGCAGAAUUGAUUAAAAUAUUGUACAUCACCUUCAAUUUAGCAAAUAAUGUAUUUUAGAGUAAUUCUUAUAAGCACAAAAAAGUAUGUACACUGGUUAUUACAGCAUUGUAAUAGUGAAAAAAUGUAAACGUGAAUGUCAACAGAAAAUUGUUAAUGGCAUAUUCAUUUCUAUAGGAAGCUUUGCAUGUGUAUCUCGACAUUAAGGUCAUAGAAAGAUCCAAGAUUAAAAAAUUUUUUUUCAGUAAUCUUUAACUAUUUCUAGUUUCCUGAAUUGUCCUUGUCCAUAUUCUUUAUACCUUUGCAUUCAUUGAACCUGCCUUAAACACUCUCCCCUAGCCUGUCAAUUUGGCAAACUGAUAUGUUCACAUGUCAGCUCAAAUAAUACUUCCUCUGUGACUUCACAGGUACUUUAGAUGAAUUUUUUCUAAUGCUUCCUCUUGUUUCUGUGGUACCUUUUUAUUGUACCUAAAUUAUAAGCUCCACAAAAACAAGAAUGUUUCUUUUUAAGCACCCAGAACAAUAUCCUUCACAUAGGCACUAAUAAUUAUUGAAUAAUAAAGAUUUCUGUAAGUAUAAUCAUUUAACUUA
This is a long non-coding RNA of Manis pentadactyla (Chinese pangolin), 3511 nucleotides long. RefSeq lists it as uncharacterized. Lineage: Eukaryota; Metazoa; Chordata; Mammalia; Pholidota; Manidae. The record is from RefSeq and is a predicted model, not a curated record. The transcript has 2 exons.